RNAcentral lists this unclassified non-coding RNA (392 nucleotides) under uncultured fungus. RNAcentral's name for it is "partial contains small subunit ribosomal RNA, internal transcribed spacer 1, and 5.8S ribosomal RNA". The stretch from base 1 to 73 matches the Rfam family "Eukaryotic small subunit ribosomal RNA", at positions 1759 to 1831 of the family's 1831-position model. The record is from RNAcentral. Lineage: Eukaryota; Fungi.
CCAAACUUGGUCAUUUAGAGGAAGUAAAAGUCGUAACAAGGUUUCCGUAGGUGAACCUGCGGAAGGAUCAUUAACGAGUUUUGAAAGCGGGGCCUGCUGCUGGUGUGGAAACACACAUGUGCACGGCUCCGUGCUCGAUCCACUCAACCCCUGUGCACCUUUGCAAAGUGGAGUAGGCCUCACUCUUUGAAGUGUCCAGUCACCAGUAGGGUGAGCGUGCAUGAGCGCCAGUAGCCUGAAAGUGAGUGUCUUUCGUUCGGAGGGAGUGGUCGAAAGCUUUGAUCUUUAUCAACCUUUUUGCGUGUCUUGUGAAUGUGAUGCUCUUUGUGGGUGGAAUAAAUACAACUUUCAACAACGGAUCUCUUGGCUCUCGCAUCGAUGAAGAACGCAGC